GGUUAAGCGACUAAGCGUACACGGUGGAUGCCCUGGCAGUCAGAGGCGAUGAAGGACGUGCUAAUCUGCGAUAAGCGUCGGUAAGGUGAUAUGAACCGUUAUAACCGGCGAUUUCCGAAUGGGGAAACCCAGUGUGAUUCGUCACACUAUCAUUAACUGAAUCCAUAGGUUAAUGAGGCGAACCGGGGGAACUGAAACAUCUAAGUACCCCGAGGAA
RNAcentral lists this ribosomal RNA (217 nucleotides) under Escherichia coli. RNAcentral's name for it is "partial 23S ribosomal RNA". It matches the Rfam family "Bacterial large subunit ribosomal RNA", at positions 1 to 218 of the family's 2925-position model. The record is from RNAcentral. Lineage: Bacteria; Pseudomonadati; Pseudomonadota; Gammaproteobacteria; Enterobacterales; Enterobacteriaceae.